UUGUGAGUAUUGGUUAACUCGCUCAGACGGGCACGGUGACGGAAUUUGGGGUUUGGGGCCUCUGGCGAGCGCGCACCGGCCGGGAGGCCCGUGGUCGCGGGGCGAGCGGCCCGCCAAAGCAACAGGUAUAAGAACAACAGGGUGGGAGAGCGGCCCCGGGGGCGCGGACUCGGUAAUGAUCCUUCCGCAGGUUCACCUACGGAAA
Molecule: unclassified non-coding RNA, 205 nt
Filed under: uncultured fungus
Lineage: Eukaryota; Fungi
Description: sequence contains ITS1
Source: RNAcentral